Molecule: ribosomal RNA, 497 nt
Filed under: uncultured bacterium
Lineage: Bacteria
Description: partial 16S ribosomal RNA
Rfam family: Bacterial small subunit ribosomal RNA
Source: RNAcentral
GACGAACGCUGGCGGCGUGCCUAAUACAUGCAAGUUGAGCGCUGAAGGUUGGUACUUGUACCAACUGGAUGAGCAGCGAACGGGUGAGUAACGCGUGGGGAAUCUGCCUUUGAGCGGGGGACAACAUUUGGAAACGAAUGCUAAUACCGCAUAAAAACUUUAAACACAAGUUUUAAGUUUGAAAGAUGCAAUUGCAUCACUCAAAGAUGAUCCCGCGUUGUAUUAGCUAGUUGGUGAGGUAAAGGCUCACCAAGGCGAUGAUACAUAGCCGACCUGAGAGGGGGGUCGGCCACAUUGGGACUGAGACACGGCCCAAACUCAUACGGGAGGCAGCAGUAGGGAAUCUUCGGCAAUGGACGAAAGUCUGACCGAGCAACGCCGCGUGAGUGAAGAAGGUUUUCGGAUCGUAAAACUCUGUUGGUAGAGAAGAACGUUGGUGAGAGUGGAAAGCUCAUCAAGUGACGGUAACUACCCAGAAAGGGACGGCUAACUACGUG